AUUGAACGCUGGCGGCAUGCCUUACACAUGCAAGUCGAACGGCAGCGCGGACUUCGGUCUGGCGGCGAGUGGCGAACGGGUGAGUAAUACAUCGGAACGUACCCUGUUGUGGGGGAUAACUAGUCGAAAGAUUAGCUAAUACCGCAUACGACCUGAGGAUGUAAGUGGGGGAUCGCAAGGCCUCACGCAGCAGGACAGGCCGAUGUCUCAUUAGCUAGUUGGUGGGGUAAAGGCCCACCAAGGCGACGAUCAGUAGCUGGUCUGAGAGGACGAUCAGCCACAAUGGGACUGAGACACGGACCAGACUCCUACGGGAGGCAGCAGUGGGGAAUUUUGGACAAUGGGGGCAUCCCUGAUCCAGCAAUGCCGCGUGUGUGAAGAAGGCCUUCGGGUUGUAAAGCACUUUUGUCCGGAAAGAAAUCGCGCUGGUUAAUACCUGGCGUGGAUGACGGUACCGGAAGAAUAAGCACCGGCUAACUACGUG
RNAcentral lists this ribosomal RNA (484 nucleotides) under uncultured bacterium. RNAcentral's name for it is "partial 16S ribosomal RNA". It matches the Rfam family "Bacterial small subunit ribosomal RNA", at positions 30 to 507 of the family's 1533-position model. The record is from RNAcentral.